Molecule: ribosomal RNA, 339 nt
Filed under: Engraulis japonicus (Japanese anchovy)
Lineage: Eukaryota; Metazoa; Chordata; Actinopteri; Clupeiformes; Engraulidae
Description: partial 12S ribosomal RNA
Rfam family: Bacterial small subunit ribosomal RNA
Source: RNAcentral
UAAUGCUAAUGUACAACUAGCAUCCGCCAGGGAACUACGAGCACCAGCUUAAAACCCAAAGGACUUGGCGGUGCCUCAGACCCCCCUAGAGGAGCCUGUUUUAGAACCGAUAACUCCCGUUCAACCUCGCCACUCCUCGUCCUUUCCGCCUAUAUACCACCGUCGCCAGCUUACCCUGUGAAGGAAAAGUAAGCGAAAUGGAGACUCUCCAAAACGUCAGGUCGAGGUGUAGCACACGGAGUGGGAAGAAAUGGGCUACAUUGCCUGACUUAGGCUACCAACGGAAAGUCGCCUGAAAAGACUAUUUGAAGGUGGAUUUAGCAGUAAGAGGGGAAUAGA